UACGAAGGGUGCAAGCGUUAAUCGGAAUUACUGGGCGUAAAGCGCGCGUAGGUGGUUCAGUAAGUUGGAUGUGAAAUCCCCGGGCUCAACCUGGGAACUGCAUCCAAAACUGCUGAGCUAGAGUACGGUAGAGGGUGGUGGAAUUUCCUGUGUAGCGAUGAAAUGCGUAGAUAUAGGAAGGAACACCAGUGGCGAAGGCGACCACCUGGACUGAUACUGACACUGAGGUGCGAAAGCGUGGGGAGCAAACAGG
Molecule: ribosomal RNA, 253 nt
Filed under: uncultured bacterium
Lineage: Bacteria
Description: partial 16S ribosomal RNA
Rfam family: Bacterial small subunit ribosomal RNA
Source: RNAcentral